This 445-nucleotide ribosomal RNA is filed under the name uncultured bacterium. Its description in RNAcentral is "partial 16S ribosomal RNA". It matches the Rfam family "Bacterial small subunit ribosomal RNA", at positions 354 to 796 of the family's 1533-position model. The record is from RNAcentral.
GUGAGGAAUAUUGGUCAAUGGGCGGGAGCCUGAACCAGCCAAGUCGCGUGAAGGAAGAAGGAUCUAUGGUUCGUAAACUUCUUUUGCAGGGGAAUAAAGUGCGGGACGUGUCCUGUUUUGUAUGUACCCUGAGAAUAAGGAUCGGCUAACCCCGUGCCAGCAGCCGCGGUAAUACGGAGGAUCCGAGCGUUAUCCGGAUUUAUUGGGUUUAAAGGGUGCGUAGGUGGUUUGAUAAGUCAGCGGUGAAAGUUUGCAGCUUAACUGUAAAAAUGCCGUUGAAACUGUCGGACUUGAGUGUAAAUGAGGUAGGCGGAAUGCGUGGUGUAGCGGUGAAAUGCAUAGAUAUCACGCAGAACUCCGAUUGCGAAGGCAGCUUACUAAGCUACAACUGACACUGAAGCACGAAAGCGUGGGGAUCAAACAGGAUUAGAUACCCGAGUAGUCC